AGCAGCCGCGGUAAUUCCAGCUCCAAUAGCGUAUAUUAAAGUUGUUGCAGUUAAAAAGCUCGUAGUUGAAUUUCGGGAUUGACGUGACGGUCAUGCCUUAAGGGGUAUGAACUGUUACAGUUGAUUUCUCACCUUCUGGAGAAACUUGAUGUCCUUUAUUGGGUGUCUUGCGGAUCCAGGACCUUUACCUUGAAAAAAUUAGAGUGUUUAAAGCAGGCAUUUUUGCUCGAAUACAUUAGCAUGGAAUAAUAGAAUAGGACGGCAUGGUUCUAUUUUGUUGGUUUCUAGGAUCACCGUAAUGAUUAAUAGGGAUAGUUGGGGGCAUUAGUAUUCAAUUGUCAGAGGUGAAAUUCUUGGAUUUAUUGAAGACUAACUACUGCGAAAGCAUUUGCCAAGGAUGUUUUCAUUAAUCAAGAACGAAAGUUAGGGGAUCGAAGACGAUCAGAUACCGUCGUAGUCUUAACCAUAAACUAUGCCGACUAGGAAUCAGACGAUGUUAAUUUUUUAAUGACUCGUUUGGCACCUUACG
Molecule: ribosomal RNA, 529 nt
Filed under: uncultured Glomus
Lineage: Eukaryota; Fungi; Glomeromycota; Glomeromycetes; Glomerales; Glomeraceae
Also listed under: 1 other name
Description: SSU rRNA
Rfam family: Eukaryotic small subunit ribosomal RNA
Source: RNAcentral